CAGGGGUGGUGCAGCACGGUAGCAUGAUAUACCCUGGCUGCAAAAGGCUUGCUGCCCAGUCCAAGGCCAGCAGUGUUGUGUCUGGCCUGUAAGAGGCAGGUAGCAAGCCAUGAAUAUGUCCAAAGGCCCUCGAAUGCCAUUCCUGGGCCUUGUAAGAGGCACUUGCUUUGCUCCAUUUCACUUUCUUUCCAUUCUGCUUUUUAGUUUGUUUUUGUUUUGGAUUCUUUUAACAGUUAAGUGUUCUUCUGUCUCAUUCCAUUAAGCUUAACCAUGUCAGAUAUAAUAGAGAAAUAUUUUCACAGGCUCUUAAAUGAUUAAACUAAUAUUUCUCAAAAGUACUCACUUGGAAUUGGAAAAAAUGAUCCUUUGAAACUGAGAAAAGGUAUUUAAAGGCAGUUUCUAUCUGAGAGCUUUGUUCAUUCAGUAUAUUUGGCCAGUAAUCUUUAUCAAGUUGAUGUUAAAAUGUCUAUUUUUGCUUCUUCUGAAGCAUAUAUACUUCUUAUCUCUGAGGAUGUAGAACAUUAAUUACUUAUAUUCACAUGUUCCUAAGCAACAUGUAUUUAUAAAUUGAUACACUCCUAAAAUUUAUGUGGAUGUAUGAUUUCCCUGGCUUUGAAGAUGCUCUAGGCCUUCCUCGUAUUUGCCCUUAAACUGAACCCUUGAGUUCCCAAAGUUUAGGCUUUCUUUGUUUGUCUUUGAAACUACAUCUUCUGUCUCUUGUCAUCAUAUCUGCUUAUUGCGUGUUUUUCAUACUUUCCACCUCUCUUAAGAGCUGUUACCUGAGCCCUUGUUAUCACUUUUGAUUGUGCUGCACUUAGCUGCAUUUCUAAGUUUCUGAUUCUUGCAAGUUUUGUGGAAACACAGGAGUCUUUAACCCACAUCAGCCUUGAUCUAAACGUACCACUUUACUUAAAAGUUCGUGGGAUCUGGAGCUCCUGGUCUAGCAAGCCAUGAAAAUGCCAAUAAAUGUUUUGUAAUAAAGCUUUUAUUUAAACAUCCAUUUUGUUCGACCUUGAAGCUUUACUAAUAUGCUGAAGAACAAACAGCCGAUGCCAGUGAAUAUUCGAGCUUCGAUGCAGCAACAACAGCAGCUAGCCAGUGCCAGAAACAGAAGACUGGCCCAGCAGAUGGAGAAUAGACCCUCUGUCCAGGCAGCAUUAAAACUUAAGCAGGUGAGAGAAUGUGUCUUAAUGCUCUGAAGCAGCUGGUGGUCUGUGUCAGUCCGCUGAGUGCCAUGGAUGAUGACAGAGGCUCAGGGCCAAACCUGAAGCUUCUAUGAAAGGGAAGUUCAGAGAAUUCCAAUUUUGGCAGGUACUGAUAAAUAAUGUUUUAUUAUUUCUGUUUUAGGGAGUUUGCCAUCUGUGUGGCCUGUUUGUGUUAUCAGUGACUAUUAAUCUCUUACGUUUGGUCCUUUACCCUAAAAGUGGAUUUAAUGGAUUUUUUUUGAUACAAAGAACCUUUGUUUCAGGUUGGGGUAUAGCUCAAAAGAAGAGCACUUGCCUACCAUGUGCAAGGCCAUGGAUUUGAUCCCCAGCACUGCCCAAAAAAAGAGAAGGAAAGAAACUAUUUGUGUUUAGAUGAUCUUCAAAAUAUCCUUUACUUCCUGUUAAGUGAUCUAUAUCCUAGGGAAAUAAUUUUAUUCUUCCCUAUACAGGGAAUUUGGCCUUAGUCAAAAGUUUUCAGUGCUAAAAUAUACAAAAAGUAUAGUGACUUUUGUUUCCACAGCACCUGAAGUUUUAUCAGUACAUUAGAGCAAGAGUUCUGAGUAGCUAACUUAAGAAUUAGUGAGGUUCUCUUUCAAAUUUCCAGUAAGAGAUAAAUCUAUUCAGACCUGAAAUAAAACCUGCUCUUUAUUAUUCAUAGACUUUAUAUGCAAGUCCGGACAUUGGCUGUGGAAGGAUAUGUCCAAGCUGUGGCUGGGCGUCCGGAGGGCGAUGCCAUGCAACUGUAAGGACUUUAACUGGUAGCACUGCAUGGCUGUGCAUAAAUUCAGCAGUUAAAUAUAACACCCUCCCACCCUUAUUCUGAACCACUGGCUCACUGACCAAAAAUAAACAAGGCUUUCUGCUUCAGUUACCUUAAGCCUUGUAGGACUGGAUCCAUCUCUGACUCGGGAAAGCCAGAAGCAAAAGGCACCAACAAAGGACCUUUCAGCAUGAAGCUUUCAGUAUAGGCUGUGCGAGAAGUAACCUCCAGAGCAACACUGUCAGACGCUUCUGUGAUGAUGGAAAUGCUCUGCGCUGUCCAGUACAGUAACCACUAGCCACAUACGGCUAUUCAGAACUUUAAAUGUAGCUAGUGCUGUGGAGGAGCUUCAAUAGCCACAUGUGUCCAGUGGCUGUCUCAAAUAGCAGCUUUAGAGUGGAAACCAGUGGUAUAGUGGACAUCCUUAAGUGUCCUAUCAAUGUUAGAAGCCAAGAUUGGUAGCAGCUAGGGAUGGGGAUAGGAGGAGAACUCUAGGCACUGUGUAGUUCUUCAUUGAAGCAUAGAACUCGGGAGAAUCGAUAUAUUCAGGAAAACUGAACAUAAGGCACUUACAGAAUAUAGUCUUGACCUCAUGAUUGUGUGCUGGGGCUCUGAGUGUAGCUCAGUGGUAGAGCAUGCGUAAGGGUAUGGAUUUGACCCCUAGCACUACAAAAACAAAAUAAUUGUGUGCUAAGUAGAAGAGUGAGGACAGUCCCUUAAAGUUGGUUGCACCUCCUGUGCUAGAUGUCUUUCUCUACUGAUCAGAAGCGGCUUGUUAUCUUUAUCUUGUGCCUAGGAAGUUAUGCCUCACAGCACAAGAGGGCUACUAUUGGCCAGAGGGGGACAAGUUAUUUGUGGGUUGAACCUGAGUGUGCAUAAACUUCAUUUACAUUCAUGUUGUAGAAAAAUAGGCCUUGGUUGUGUGUUCAAAGCUACAUUGAUGAAAUUUCUUUUGAAGAAUUUUUUAAGAUGUGAUCCUCAAGGAUUUAUUUUUUUGAGAACAGAUUAUUGAAAAUGUAUCUCUGUAGUAUGUCCUUGUCCUCAUAUGUGCCCCUUUGUGGUUAAAGUUCACCUGUGUUAAUUCUAACAGUUUGGCUGGCUCUCUGGAGAUAUAUUUUUGUUUAUUUUGAAUUAAAAGUUAUAAUAUUGGCUUAAGGGAGCUGUUUGCAAGUGUAGAUAUGGAAUUAUGGAUUUCUAAGAAAUUUAAGGAAAGGAAGUUUGACUCUUGUGUUUAUUUGCAUCUUAAGGUAAAAAGUGGACCGUCUGGAGAUAGAUACUCAAAGGAAAAAUGGAGCACACUGGCCUCUUUGACUGAAAAAUCAAUCUUGUUCUUAAGUCAAAAGAAUUCAAAUGAACUUGUAAUUUAAAUUGUGCCCAGAGUGUGGUGAACUUCCUGUGGUGUUUGAGUAAGCCUUUGAAGACAGUAGUAGUUCCUGGGCAGGUAUGAAUUAAGUCAUGUCAUUGUCAACCUGGGGUUCAGAAACAGCAAGUGUUCUUAUUAAAACCUAAGUUCCAGCUGAUGGUAUAUGACUUCUAUAGCCAAAUCAGUGAGGUGAUUUGUGGUGAUGCCAAUUUCAUGGGGUCAUACUGAAGCUUCUUAGAGUUUAUGCUCUGGAAUUCUUUUAUAGCAUGUUCUGAGAACAAAGGUUUCUGAUUUGGGAUCCUUAAUGAUACCCACAGCAGGUUAUUUCCCGCCAUCUCACUUGCUUCCUUUUCUCUGCACUUAGAAUUGCCACCUCUCACUGAAUUGCUUUUUUGAUCUCAAUCCUCCAACACCUUUUCUUCCAGAAGAGCUUAAAGCAGCGCCUGGGUAAGAGUAACAUCCAGGCACGGUUAGGCCGACCCAUAGGGGCCCUGGCCAGGGGAGCAAUUGGAGGACGAGGUCUGCCCAUAAUCCAGAGAGGCUUAUCCAGAGGAGGACUACGUGGGGGACGUGCCACCAGAACCCUGCUUAGGGGCGGGAUGUCGCUCCGAGGUCAGUGCUUUGUGUACCUGAUAACUGUUGGGCCCUGUCCCCUUUCCUUUUCUCUUGGGCUGCUUAUGGACACAUUUGUUUAACAUCUUUAAUACUAAAUUUGUAUUAAUAUAAUUAAUAACUUUUGAAAUCACAUUUUUAGUAGUGCUGCAUGCCUUUUAUUGAUACCAUUCCUUUUCUGGUAAUGUGCAAUGGUGAGAGGCUAUGACCUGCAUAACAGGUAAUUCAUGUCAUCUCCAUUUCAUUUUAAAGCACCCUGCUGCUGCUUGAAUCAAAGCACAUUCAAGUUGUAGAAAUAAGUCAAGUUUAAGAAAUGUAUGUUAGCAUAUAUAUGAGGCCAUGGGUUCAAUCCCCAGCACCAAAAAAAUAAAGAAAUGUAUGGGUCUUCGGCCUAUAUCAAAACUAAACAUGUCUGUUCCUGGUGCUAGCACAACACUGUUAAUCAUCUGAAAGAAAGAGAGGAAAAGUUGACCAAUAGUACUUAACCUAUAUCUUGUAAUUUGGGCACUGCUAUUCUAUUCCCUGUAUAGUUUUUAAAUUUGUUAAAAGUAUGUACUUAAUUAACUCCCAACUUCCCAAGAUGGAUUUGUGGUCAGAAAUGUUGAACUGAUACAAAUAAUGAGCAACUUAAUCUGGUCACACUCUCAAGUGUGCAGCUUGCCCUACCCAGCUUACGAACUAACUGAAUUACUUUAAUUUAACCCUCACCGCCUUCCUUUGGUUAGAAUCUACUUUUGUUUCUCUUGGAUUUACCUGCAUAUACAUUGUAUGCCUCCUCUCCAAGGUCAAAACCUGCUCCGAGGUGGACGAGCCGUAGCUCCCCGAAUGGGCUUAAGAAGAGGUGGUGUUCGAGGUCGUGGAGGUCCUGGGAGAGGGGGCCUAGGGCGUGGAGCUAUGGGUCGUGGCGGAAUCGGUGGUAGAGGUUAGUCAGCUACCAACUUCAGAGAGUAGCUCCCCCUAUUUCCUUCCUUUAAAAACUCAGAGCCACCUUUCUGCACAGCUUCAAGUCACAGGCAGGCUUGUUUGUUUGUCUUGUUUUGUUUUUUGAAACUGGCUUAUUUCCUAAAUUCACAUGCUGGUAGAUUGAAAGUCUGUCAUAAUUUUUCUAAGAGCCAGUCAGGUACAUAUUACAGAACCAGAUAUUAUGCAGUGUUCCCCUAGGUUCUUACAGAUUUAAAUUUUAAAAAUUUUAAAUAACAAAGUGGUUAGUUUGGAAUUUUGUCUUUUACUAUUUCUGCCCCAUCACUACCACAUGCCCAUCUUCUAGCUUAAAACCUCACAUUAACUCAGAUAAGAAUAGAGGAGGCAUCGCUUCUCGGCCUUUUGGCUAAGAUCAAGUGAUGAAGAAUAGAGGAGGCAGCCUGGGGGUAUGGCCCCUGGCUUCAAUCCCCACUACCCUACACAAACACAAAAAAUGUGAACAGAAAGAAGGUAGUAAGAGGCUGGGAAUAUAGGUCAGUGGUAGAGCUCAUGCUUAGCACCAUGAGGCCCUGGGUUCCAUCCCCAGCAUGGGGAGUGAAAGUCAAAGAGGGUGGGACUUGGCGCUGAGCAGUGGCUCUGAAAUAAGUGAAGUUUCUGCUUAUGGGGAACCAGAGAGGUUUUUCUGAUAAAGGUAGGAAAUUAAAUGAUAUUACUGUCAGUUAACUAACUGGCUUUUGCUGAUAAUCUUACCUUUGAGGUCUUGAUAUUUGUCUUUUGAUCUCAUAACCCAUAUUGGGGGGGAUUGGUGGUGGUGUUUUUGCCAAAUCUCAUGGGGGCUUUCUGACUUAGAAUUUAGUGAGAAACUCCCACCACUGUCUGUUCAAGCGGAACAGCCCCUGUGUGUAUUUGCUUCAUUCCUUUAAAGUGUGUUGUGGGUCUUCACAAUUUAUAACCCGGACAUUGCCAAAGAAGAUAUUAACUGGGAAAGGGCAUUAGAUGGCCAAGGGCUAUUUUUUUCUCUUUCAUUAUAUACUAUGUGGGUUUUUUGUUGUUGUUUUUUGUUUGUUUUUUUUUUUUUUUUUUUAGUGAAAUGCAAGGUAGUUUGGUUUCAGGAUGAAAUAGGUUGUUUUCAAAUUAUCUCAACUUGAUUUUUGAGAGAUCACAUGGGUAGGAAGAUUAAAAUGACUCUUCAGAAAGCUGGGUGUAUUUUGUUAAGUGAAUUGAAACUACCUCUCAGAUAACCACCUUGUCGUGAGGUGCCUAGAAUCAGAGAUAAAGAGGCUGGUACUCAGCAUGUUUUUCUAAUCACAUUGUCUGUGUCAAAGAGAAACCCUCAAUAAACUGACACAUGGAGUCAGUUCAUUAGCCUUAAUAAAAUUAAGGAGAGAACUUUCCAGAGGGUAUCAAUUAAAGCUUAAUUUGAAUGUCUGCCUUCGCAUCCCUGAUUCUCUGUGCCCUUUUUACUACCUCCCUGUUACUAAAUUCAAUUAUCUAUUAUGUAUUUUAAUUAUGAAUUUAGAGGGGGGUCUCAAACAUUAGGGAAUUUCUUUCUUAGAAGAGAUAAUCUGUUUAUUAGCCGAUUAUUUUCCAUUUGUUGAUUUAAAAAAUUUUAGAUAGUAUUUAGAGAGGAGCAUGUAAUAAGGGAUUCAUUAUAUGUGCUUUCCAUGUGUUGCUUUCUAUCCAGUGUGUUUCUUGUUUCUCCAGAUUUCUCCUCCUCUCUGCCCUGCCCUUCAGCUUUCUCAGCUAGGCCCCACUGCUCUAAGGGGCAUUUACAUAGCUCCCAUUAAACCUACUUGUAACUGUCUUUUUUUCUUCCCCUCCUUGGGCCAGGUCGGGGCAUGAUAGGUCGGGGAAGAGGGGGCUUUGGAGGCCGAGGCCGAGGCCGUGGAAGGGGAAGAGGUGCCCUCACUCGCCCUGUAUUGACCAAGGAGCAGCUGGACAACCAGUUGGAUGCGUACAUGUCGAAAACUAAAGGACACCUGGAUGCCGAGUUGGAUGCCUACAUGGCACAGACAGAUCCAGAAACCAACGAUUGAAGCCUGCCUGCCUGUCCUUCUGUGAGAGACUCUUGUUAAGUCACCACAUCUGUAAAUAACCUUGAGAUAACAGAUGAGAAGAAACUGAUUGAUGCUGGAAGGACCUAUCUCAAUAGGCUGUGGACUCACCUGUCACCAGUUUGUGCAUUUAGUGUGUUCCUUUUACUUUUUGAUACUGUGUUGUAUGAAACUCUUUUUUUCCUUUGAUUUAGUUGGGGUUUUUUUGUUUUUUUUGUUUUCCUCUUCCCUUCACCCAGACUUUGAAGAUGAAUGUGUUGGCCUUGUGGGUAGAACACUUUGCCUACCUCUGCCUCCCUUCACCUAUAUCAUACACUGACAUUCUCUGUGCCCCCACAAAAAGUUCCAGAAAGAGCCAGUUUUCCUCCUUGAUGCCUUGGUUUCUGAGAUAGAAUUCUGUUGUACAUCCUAUUUAAUAGCCUCUUAGAAGUGUUAAGAAAAUCUGGAGCUGAAAAAUAACGUUUUGCUGCAUUGUUAAUGAUGUAGUAAAUUGGGAACAUUGACAUUGCUAUAGGGACACAUAACAGGUUACCAUGGUAUCUGCUUUGACUGAAGUUGCUACCAGGUGCAUGGAUACCACAUCAUUGAUGACCAGCAUGCUGGAUUGGAUACGUGUAUUUUCUACCCUCAGAUGAGAUUUUUGAGCUUGCCUCUUGGUGGCUUUGUAUCAUAUCCAGAGGGAUGGGCUGCCUUACACCUGCAAUCGAGAGGAAGAAGCCCUUUGGUUUGACUCACACAGCACAGGGAGAGGAAUGGGGCAGUAGGGAGACCACCACUGGAAAGGAUCAGGAGCUGCCCGUGCCAGAAUGCAGUUAUCAUGUUUGUCCCAGGCCACUGUUGGGCUUCUCCAUUGUUGGCUUUAUUUGAUCCUCCUCUUUCUCUUGAAGGUUUAAGUUCAACCAUAUUCUGUCAACUGUUCCCAGUUUCAGUGGAAUCUUGUAUUUCUGGUUCAUUAUAACAAAUUGUUCUCUCAAAUCCAACCAGGACUCUCUCUCUCUUUGUUGGGCUCCUGAGGUGCUGUAGCUCUUUUAAUGUUAUCUUAAUGUACCCCUUGUGUAGUUGAGAAUCG
This 7984-nucleotide long non-coding RNA is filed under the name Marmota monax (woodchuck). The record is from RNAcentral. Lineage: Eukaryota; Metazoa; Chordata; Mammalia; Rodentia; Sciuridae.